RNAcentral lists this ribosomal RNA (497 nucleotides) under uncultured bacterium. RNAcentral describes it as "partial 16S ribosomal RNA". It matches the Rfam family "Bacterial small subunit ribosomal RNA", at positions 28 to 507 of the family's 1533-position model. The record is from RNAcentral.
GAUGAACGCUGGCGGCGUGCCUAAUACAUGCAAGUCGAGCGAACGGACGAGAAGCUUGCUUCUCUAAUGUUAGCGGCGGACGGGUGAGUAACACGUGGAUAACCUACCUAUAAGACUGGGAUAACUUCGGGAAACCGGAGCUAAUACCGGAUAAUAUUUUGAACCGCAUGGUUCAAAAGUGAAAGACGGUCUUGCUGUCACUUAUAGAUGGAUCCGCGCUGCAUUAGCUAGUUGGUAAGGUAACGGCUUACCAAGGCAACGAUGCAUAGCCGACCUGAGAGGGUGAUCGGCCACACUGGAACUGAGACACGGUCCAGACUCCUACAGGAGGCAGCAGUAGGGAAUCUUCCGCAAUGGGCGAAAGCCUGACGGAGCAACGCCGCGUGAGUGAUGAAGGUCUUCGGAUCGUAAAACUCUGUUAUUAGGGAAGAACAUAUGUGUAAGUAACUGUGCACAUCUUGACGGUACCUAAUCAGAAAGCCACGGCUAACUACGUG